This 1459-nucleotide ribosomal RNA is filed under the name Escherichia coli. RNAcentral's name for it is "23S ribosomal RNA". It matches the Rfam family "Bacterial large subunit ribosomal RNA", at positions 1493 to 2925 of the family's 2925-position model. The record is from RNAcentral. Lineage: Bacteria; Pseudomonadati; Pseudomonadota; Gammaproteobacteria; Enterobacterales; Enterobacteriaceae.
GGGCGACGGUUGUCCCGGUUUAAGCGUGUAGGCUGGUUUUCCAGGCAAAUCCGGAAAACCAAGGCUGAGGCGUGAUGACGAGGCACUACGGUGCUGAAGCAACAAAUGCCCUGCUUCCAGGAAAAGCCUCUAAGCAUCAGGUAACAUCAAAUCGUACCCCAAACCGACACAGGUGGUCAGGUAGAGAAUACCAAGGCGCUUGAGAGAACUCGGGUGAAGGAACUAGGCAAAAUGGUGCCGUAACUUCGGGAGAAGGCACGCUGAUAUGUAGGUGAAGCGACUUGCUCGUGGAGCUGAAAUCAGUCGAAGAUACCAGCUGGCUGCAACUGUUUAUUAAAAACACAGCACUGUGCAAACACGAAAGUGGACGUAUACGGUGUGACGCCUGCCCGGUGCCGGAAGGUUAAUUGAUGGGGUUAGCGGUAACGCGAAGCUCUUGAUCGAAGCCCCGGUAAACGGCGGCCGUAACUAUAACGGUCCUAAGGUAGCGAAAUUCCUUGUCGGGUAAGUUCCGACCUGCACGAAUGGCGUAAUGAUGGCCAGGCUGUCUCCACCCGAGACUCAGUGAAAUUGAACUCGCUGUGAAGAUGCAGUGUACCCGCGGCAAGACGGAAAGACCCCGUGAACCUUUACUAUAGCUUGACACUGAACAUUGAGCCUUGAUGUGUAGGAUAGGUGGGAGGCUUUGAAGUGUGGACGCCAGUCUGCAUGGAGCCGACCUUGAAAUACCACCCUUUAAUGUUUGAUGUUCUAACGUUGGCCCGUAAUCCGGGUUGCGGACAGUGUCUGGUGGGUAGUUUGACUGGGGCGGUCUCCUCCUAAAGAGUAACGGAGGAGCACGAAGGUUGGCUAAUCCUGGUCGGACAUCAGGAGGUUAGUGCAAUGGCAUAAGCCAGCUUGACUGCGAGCGUGACGGCGCGAGCAGGUGCGAAAGCAGGUCAUAGUGAUCCGGUGGUUCUGAAUGGAAGGGCCAUCGCUCAACGGAUAAAAGGUACUCCGGGGAUAACAGGCUGAUACCGCCCAAGAGUUCAUAUCGACGGCGGUGUUUGGCACCUCGAUGUCGGCUCAUCACAUCCUGGGGCUGAAGUAGGUCCCAAGGGUAUGGCUGUUCGCCAUUUAAAGUGGUACGCGAGCUGGGUUUAGAACGUCGUGAGACAGUUCGGUCCCUAUCUGCCGUGGGCGCUGGAGAACUGAGGGGGGCUGCUCCUAGUACGAGAGGACCGGAGUGGACGCAUCACUGGUGUUCGGGUUGUCAUGCCAAUGGCACUGCCCGGUAGCUAAAUGCGGAAGAGAUAAGUGCUGAAAGCAUCUAAGCACGAAACUUGCCCCGAGAUGAGUUCUCCCUGAGACUUAGAGUCUCCUGAAGGAACGUUGAAGACGACGACGUUGAUAGGCCGGGUGUGUAAGCGCAGCGAUGCGUUGAGCUAACCGGUACUAAUGAACCGUGAGGCUUAACCUU